UAAUAUGAAAGGAAAUAUCCAAUUUAAUUUCGACUUAAAUAUAUGAUUAUAAAAACUAAUCCAUAUUAA
RNAcentral lists this transfer RNA (69 nucleotides) under Vespa affinis (lesser banded hornet). Its description in RNAcentral is "tRNA-Arg". Lineage: Eukaryota; Metazoa; Arthropoda; Insecta; Hymenoptera; Vespidae. The record is from RNAcentral.